Molecule: ribosomal RNA, 537 nt
Filed under: uncultured eukaryote
Lineage: Eukaryota
Description: SSU rRNA
Rfam family: Eukaryotic small subunit ribosomal RNA
Source: RNAcentral
GGAGGUAGUGACAAUAAAUAUCAAUGCGGGGCACACAGUGACUUGCUUGGAAUGAGAACAAUUUAAAUCCCUUAACGAGGAUCGAUUGGAGGGCAAGUCUGGUGCCAGCAGCCGCGGUAAUUCCAGCUCCAAUAGCGUAUAUUAAAGUUGUUGCAGUUAAAAAGCUCGUAGUUGGAUUUCUGGUCUGAGCGUCCGGUCCGCCGCUGUGCGGUGUGUACUUGGUUCGACUCGGGCCUUCCUUGUAGGGAAUGUUUCUGGCAUUAAUUUGUCGGGGGCGGGAACUGCAUCGUUUACUGUGAAAAAAUUAGAGUGUUUAAAGCAGGCAUUUGCUGUGAAUACAUUAGCAUGGAAUAAUAAGAUAGGACUUUGGUUCUAUUUUGUUGGUUGGAGGCCAAGGUAAUGAUUAAUAGGGAUAGUUGGGGGUAUUCAUAUUUAAUUGUCAGAGGUGAAAUUCUUGGAUUUAUGAAAGAUGAACUUAUGCGAAAGCAUUUACCAAGGAUGUUUUCCUUAAUCAAGAACGAAAGUUAGGGGAUCGAA